Molecule: transfer RNA, 68 nt
Filed under: Marmota monax (woodchuck)
Lineage: Eukaryota; Metazoa; Chordata; Mammalia; Rodentia; Sciuridae
Description: tRNA.Ala
Source: RNAcentral
GGCUUGUGGCUCAGGGGUAGAGCACUGGCCUAGCAGGACUGAGACCCUGGGUUUGAUCCUCAGCACCA